Long non-coding RNA from Xenopus tropicalis (tropical clawed frog), 1273 nucleotides. RefSeq lists it as uncharacterized. The record is from RefSeq and is a predicted model, not a curated record. The transcript has 5 exons. Lineage: Eukaryota; Metazoa; Chordata; Amphibia; Anura; Pipidae.
UAUCUUUCCUUUUAAGGUUUUGGCGAACACUGCAUACGACGCAUCAGCAGACUGGUGGUCAUUCGGUGUUGUCGUUUAUGAAAUGGCCACCGGCAAGCUGCCCUUUUCGCCAGAUGGAACCUCUAAAGAACAACUAGAGACCAUCAUGAACAGGGAGCCAUAUUAUCCUGAGCGGGUUAGGCCAGAAUUGUGCGACUUCAUAAAACAGCUUUUGAAGAAGGACGUCAAACAACGCCUUGGAGUGUGUGCCAAUGUCCGGGACCACCCUUUUUUAUCUUCGGUUAAUUGGAGGAAUGUUAAAAAACUAAGACUGGAACCCCCUCUAAAACCAAGAAUUAAACCAAUUGAUAGGCUCAGCAACAUCCCCUUCCCAGUAAACAACAUCAGUGGGACUUGCAUGAUCAAGGACAUCACCUACACAGAUCCAACUUGGAAGGACAAAUAAUUCAUCUUUGUCCCACCAGCAAGGUAGAGGUUUGAGAUUGAUUCCCAUCAAAUGACCACCCAAAAGCUGUGCAGCCAUUCCACCAUACUAUCCGCUAACACCUGGCUUACUCCUCCACUUCUCCAUCCUUUGAUAUGAGGAAGGUUCUAAAUACCAACUGAUCUAAUACGUGCAGGUUGGUAGCACUGUGGGAUAGGUAAGUAUCACCACCAGAGAAAGUACUUAUAUGCUUUUUACAUACUUUCUUAAUUAAGAUUUAUAUAUUGUUAGUAGCCACAGAGCUAAAUUCCAUCAUAAAUCGGAUGCCACAAAUAUACUUCCACCACAAUGGCACAGAUGCAGGAAACAUACAAUGUCUAAAAGAUCCUAUGCCCAGACAUAUAUCAUCUGGAAUAUUGUCAUCUAAGUACUUACUGGUGGUUAUUUGUUGUUUUUGUUCUAAGUUUGAAAAAAAACAAAAAAAAAAAACAAAAAAAAUCUUUCCCUCCUUCCCGUGUUAAUGCUAACCAGUUACUGUUUUACCUUUCUUUCCCUUUCCUUUCUUUUCCUUCCCCAGUUUUUUAUAGCCUGUGUUGCCAACAGAGAGGAGGGUUGGGGGUGGGCCUAUAUGGUGGCCUGUGACUAGUUAAUCUUCAAUCUUUAGACAGUCACAAGCCACCAUGGUGCCCUCUGUUGUCACCUCAAUCUACACCAACAAUAUUAGGAUAACCUUGUUAAUAACAACUUAAGGAUGAUAAAAUAGUUUUUAUAAAAGCAAAAAAAGCCCCUGAUAAUAUUAGUUUUAUUAUAAUUGGCUUAUUAACUUUAACAACCAGGUUUGUGCUGUCA